GUGAACGCUGGCGGUAGGCCUAACACAUGCAAGUCGAACGGCAGCACAGGAGAGCUUGCUCUCUGGGUGGCGAGUGGCGGACGGGUGAGGAAUACAUCGGAAUCUGCCCAGUCGUGGGGGAUAACGUAGGGAAACUUACGCUAAUACCGCAUACGACCUUCGGGUGAAAGAGGGGGAUCGCAAGACCUCUCGCGAUUGGAUGAGCCGAUGUCGGAUUAGCUAGUUGGCGGGGUAAUGGCCACCAAGGCGACGAUCCGUAGCUGGUCUGAGAGGAUGAUCAGCCACACUGGAACUGAGACACGGUCCAGACUCCUACGGGAGGCAGCAGUGGGGAAUAUUGGACAAAGGGCGCAAGCCUGAUCCAGCCAUACCGCGUGGGUGAAGAAGGCCUUCGGGUUGUAAAGCCCUUUUGUUGGGAAAGAAAUCUUUCAGGCUAAUACCCUGGGAGGAUGACGGUACCCAAAGAAUAAGCACCGGCUAACUUCGUG
Molecule: ribosomal RNA, 488 nt
Filed under: uncultured bacterium
Lineage: Bacteria
Description: partial 16S ribosomal RNA
Rfam family: Bacterial small subunit ribosomal RNA
Source: RNAcentral